Molecule: long non-coding RNA, 731 nt
Filed under: Rattus norvegicus (Norway rat)
Lineage: Eukaryota; Metazoa; Chordata; Mammalia; Rodentia; Muridae
Description: long non-coding RNA NONRATT021811
Source: RNAcentral
AUGUUUCUGUUGAUACCUGUUCCGGUAUUAUACACGCUACUCUGAUGACUGGUGAAAAGGCUUGUAAUGCCAUAAGUCAUUGCUUAGAGGCAUGGGCAGCCUGGGGAAAGCCUGAUAGUCUCAAGAAAGACAAUGGGCCUGCCUACACUGCAAAGUUCUUUCAGGCAUUUUGCCAGACAAUACAGGUCGGUCAUACUACAGGCUUACCAUACAAUCCCCAAGGUCAAGGAAUUGUGGAAAGAGUACAUCGUACCUUAAAAGAGCUUAUACAAAAACAAAAAGAGGGAAUUGCCAGCAGCCGAACACCAAAAGAACAACUUUCUUUAGCUCUUUCUACUCUAAAUUUCUUAAUUCUGGAUGCACAUGGCCGCUCUGCUGCGGAUCACCAUGCUACUACUACACCUAUAACUAAUACAGAAGUAAAGUGGAAAGAUGUCUUAACUGAUGAAUGGCGUGGCCCAGAUCCCGUGAUUUCGAGAUCUAGGGGAGCGAUUUGUGUUUUUCCGCAGAAUCAAGAAAAUCCAAUUUGGGUACCUGAGCGUUUGACUCAAAGAUUGUCUUCUGCUCUUCCUGAAGAUGAGACUAUGAACCCUACUAUUACUACUGGGAAUGGUAAUACAGGUUAAUUCGCUCACCCUGUGGGCUAUUGCCAGAUCCUGGCCAGUACCCAUGCCAGUUCAUAGCAAUUCUACUGUUUUGAGAAUAAGACUGGCAAGCAUAAUCUCUGGCCU